UUCAAAUUUUUAAGAGCAAACGGUGGAUGCCUUGGCAUCUGGAGCCGAAGAAGGACGUAGUAAUCUGCGAUAAGCCUCGGGGAGCUGAUAAACGAGCUGUGAUCCGAGGAUGUCCGAAUGGGGAAACCCCGCCACGGGCUGCAAGGUUACGUGGUGACUCCCGCCUGAAUAUAUAGGGCGGGUAGAGGGAACGUGGGGAAGUGAAACAUCUCAGUACCCACAGGAAGAGAAAACAACAGUGAUUCCGUUAGUAGUGGCGAGCGAACGCGGAAGAGGCUAAACCGGGCAUGUGUGAUAGCCGGCAGGCGUUGCAUGUUCGGGGUUGUGGGACUUUCCAUGAAUCUCUGCCGAGAUUCGAACAUUAGAGAGCGGUAUAGACGAAUGGUCUUGAAAGGCCAGCCAGAGUGGGUGCCAGCCCCGUAGUCGAAAUGCU
This 433-nucleotide ribosomal RNA is filed under the name Mycetocola lacteus. RNAcentral's name for it is "bacterial LSU rRNA". It matches the Rfam family "Bacterial large subunit ribosomal RNA", at positions 1 to 388 of the family's 2925-position model. Lineage: Bacteria; Bacillati; Actinomycetota; Actinomycetes; Micrococcales; Microbacteriaceae. The record is from RNAcentral.